RNAcentral lists this ribosomal RNA (495 nucleotides) under uncultured bacterium. RNAcentral's name for it is "bacterial SSU rRNA". It matches the Rfam family "Bacterial small subunit ribosomal RNA", at positions 30 to 522 of the family's 1533-position model. The record is from RNAcentral.
UGAACGCUGGCGGCGUGCUUAACACAUGCAAGUCGAGCGGCAGCGCGGGAGCAAUCCUGGCGGCGAGCGGCGAACGGGUGAGUAAUGCUUCGGAAUCUGCCCUUUAGUGGGGAAUAACCAGUCGAAAGACUGGCUAAUACCGCAUACGACCUACGGGUGAAAGCAGGGGAUCGCAAGACCUUGCGCUAGUGGAUGAGCCGAAGUCGGAUUAGCUAGUUGGUGAGGUAACGGCUCACCAAGGCGACGAUCCGUAGCUGGUCUGAGAGGACGACCAGCCACACUGGGACUGAGACACGGCCCAGACUCCUACGGGAGGCGGCAGUGGGGAAUAUUGGACAAUGGGGGAAACCCUGAUCCAGCGACGCCGCGUGUGUGAAGAAGGCCUGCGGGUUGUAAAGCACUUUUAGUGGGGAGGAAAACCCCUGACCUAACACGUCAGGAAUUGACUUAACCCAAGAAAAAGCACCGGCUAACUCUGCGCCAGCAGCCGCGGUA